UUGGCCUGGGAGGCGGAGGUGCCAAUCUGGAAGUUUCCAUAAGAAGAAUUCGGAAAAUAAAGCCAGGAGGUUUUCAAGGAGGAGUCUCAGGAACCAGUCCUCCAGAAGGAGUCACUAGAAGCACAGCUUUACACACAGGCUGCUGAAAACACCAAAAAAAAAAAAGUCUACAAAGAAUCUCCCUUUGCAUCAACCUGCUAGAAUAUACUCCGUCUACAGCGUGCCAUGGUCUGGAUCUAGCCCGCCCCGCACAGCGUGUUGAGAGCUUGGUCCCUGAGGCCUCAGCGUUCAGAGGUUGGUUCAUGACUAAAUGGACGACCGGGAGACUGGAGAAACCGCCUCGCUGGGCCCAUCCCGAGAGU
Fukomys damarensis (Damara mole-rat) is the source of this 362-nucleotide long non-coding RNA. RefSeq lists it as uncharacterized. The transcript has 4 exons. The record is from RefSeq and is a predicted model, not a curated record. NCBI's taxonomy places the organism in Eukaryota, Metazoa, Chordata, Mammalia, Rodentia, Bathyergidae.